GGCCUGCCCAAUGAUUGUAUCUAAAUUUAAAUGAUAAAAGAAGUUGUUUAAUUAAAGACAAUUCAAUGGCCGCGGUAACUCUGACCGUGAUAAUGUAGCGCAAUAAAUAGCCAAUUAAUUGUUGGCAAGUAUGAAUGGCGUCACGAGUGCCCUGCUGUCUCAAGAUAAAAACCAAUGAAAUUGAAUUAGUAGUUAAGAUGCUACUGACAAAUUGUAAGACGAGAAGACCCCGUUGAGCUUUACUGGAGUCUUAAAUCGGUUAAGAAGAUUAAUGAGUAGAUUAUAGGGGAAGAUUUUAAAAUACCCUUCUUUAAAAGUUGAUUAAUCAAGAGUUUAAGUUGGACAGUUUGGUUGGGGCGACGGCCUUCUAAAGAGUAACGAAGGCGAACAAAGGUAAAUAUGAAAAUAGCAUAAAGUCAAAGCCUGACAGUAAGGAAGAAUUCUAAGCUGACACAUAUUAUAAAUAUUGUGGGUUAUAAUGACCCGUUAGUUAAGGAUGGAUUUGCUAACGAGCAACGAAUAAAAGUUACCACGGGGAUAACAGCGUAAUUUCGUUUAAGAGUUCAUAUCGACGACGGAGUUUCC
This 585-nucleotide ribosomal RNA is filed under the name Crambe amarilla. Its description in RNAcentral is "LSU rRNA". It matches the Rfam family "Bacterial large subunit ribosomal RNA", at positions 1854 to 2521 of the family's 2925-position model. Lineage: Eukaryota; Metazoa; Porifera; Demospongiae; Poecilosclerida; Crambeidae. The record is from RNAcentral.